GACGAACGCUGGCGGCGUGCCUAAUACAUGCAAGUCGAGCGAGCUUGCCUAGAUGAAUUUGGUGCUUGCACCAAAUGAAACUAGAUACAAGCGAGCGGCGGACGGGUGAGUAACACGUGGGUAACCUGCCCAAGAGACUGGGAUAACACCUGGAAACAGAUGCUAAUACCGGAUAACAACACUAGACGCAUGUCUAGAGUUUAAAAGAUGGUUCUGCUAACACUCUUGGAUGGACCUGCGGUGCAUUAGCUAGUUGGUAAGGUAACGGCUUACCAAGGCAAUGAUGCAUAGCCGAGUUGAGAGACUGAUCGGCCACAUUGGGACUGAGACACGGCCCAAACUCCUACGGGAGGCAGCAGUAGGGAAUCUUCCACAAUGGACGCAAGUCUGAUGGAGCAACGCCGCGUGAGUGAAGAAGGGUUUCGGCUCGUAAAGCUCUGUUGGUAGUGAAGAAAGAUAGAGGUAGUAACUGGCCUUUAUUUGACGGUAAUUACUUAGAAAGUCACGGCUAACUACGUGCCAGCAGCCGCGGUAAUACGUAGGUGGCAAGCGUUGUCCGGAUUUAUUGGGCGUAAAGCGAGUGCAGGCGGUUCAAUAAGUCUGAUGUGAAAGCCUUCGGCUCAACCGGAGAAUUGCAUCAGAAACUGUUGAACUUGAGUGCAGAAGAGGAGAGUGGAACUCCAUGUGUAGCGGUGGAAUGCGUAGAUAUAUGGAAGAACACCAGUGGCGAAGGCGGCUCUCUGGUCUGCAACUGACGCUGAGGCUCGAAAGCAUGGGUAGCGAACAGG
This 788-nucleotide ribosomal RNA is filed under the name uncultured Lactobacillus sp. RNAcentral's name for it is "bacterial SSU rRNA". It matches the Rfam family "Bacterial small subunit ribosomal RNA", at positions 28 to 776 of the family's 1533-position model. The record is from RNAcentral. Lineage: Bacteria; Bacillati; Bacillota; Bacilli; Lactobacillales; Lactobacillaceae.